CUCUUGCGCAUGUGCAGCAUCUCCCCUCCACAUGACUCAAGUUGAAUGCAGUCAGAGGCUAUAAAGGUGCUGCAGAUGGCAGUACCCCCAGUUCUCUCUUUGCUGAAGCCAUGACUACACGUUUCAGCACCCAACAGGUUGUAGAUCUGAUUUUUUUUUUUUCAGAUGUUCAUAAGGAACAAUAGAACAGUGAUUUAGAAGAGGAGGAGAGCAUGAUGCAUCAUCUUCAGAUGAAGAAGUAAUCCCCCAAGAUGAAGGAGAGACAUUUUUGCCAAAGAACAGGAAAGUAACGUGAUCCUUUUCACCAUAUGACAACCAGGGCAGGAUGGCAGCACAUGUCAUAAGGAUGACCCCAGGGGCCAAAAGACAUGCAGGACAUCUCAACAUUCUACAUGUUCAUCACACCAGCCAUCAAAAAAAAUCAUCCAGGAAAUUACAAAUUUGAAGGGUUUCUGUAAAUAUGGAGACAACUGGAAAAGGAUGGAUGAGGUCAACCUGCAUAAAUACAUAGGGCUGCUAAUCUUAGCGGGUGUGUAUAGGUCCCAAGAAAUCUGUGAUAACUGUGAGUCAAGACCUGUAACACAUGUGAGAGACAAACUGGCAGCCAUAAGAGAAGUCUGUGAGAAGUGGGUGGAGAGUUUGCCAUACCUCUACAACCCUGGGCCUGAAGUAACAGUGGAUGAGCAACUGGUUCCAUUCAGAGGUAAAUUAUUAUUUCCAUACCUGUAAUGUAAGUGAUUUUUACUAGUAAUUAUUAUUAUGUAUUGCUGUAAUAUCAUUGAUUUAUAUGAUUAAGUGAUUACCAUGUGGGUUGGGGCAAUGGAUCAAAAAUGGGAGUAGAUUAGUAUGUUAUAGUUGAAUUCCUUAUUGUGCAGUAUAUAAGAAUAUAUCACUAUGUUUCCC
Molecule: long non-coding RNA, 903 nt
Organism: Ictalurus punctatus (channel catfish)
Lineage: Eukaryota; Metazoa; Chordata; Actinopteri; Siluriformes; Ictaluridae
Source: Ensembl